CCUACGGGAGUCUGCAGUGAGGAAUCUUGGUCAAUGGACGGAAGUCUGAACCAGCCAUGCCGCGUGCAGGAAGACGGCUCUAUGAGUUGUAAACUUCUUUUGUACAAGGGUAAACCUGAAUACGUGUAUUCAGCUGACAGUAAUGUACAAAUAAGGAUCGGCUAACUCCUGGCCAGCCGCCGCGGUAAUACGGAGGAUCCAAGCGUUAUCCGGAUUUAUUGGGUUUAAAGGGUGCGUAGGCGGAUUGAUAAGUUAGAGGUGAAAUGUCCGAGCUUAACUCGGGAACUGCCUCUGAUACUGUUGGUCUAGAGAGUAGAUGCGGUAGGCGGAAUGUAUGGUGUAGCGGUGAAAUGCUUAGAGAUCAUACAGAACACCGAUUGCGAAGGCAGCUUACCAAUCUACAACUGACGUUGAGGCACGAAAGCGUGGGGAGCAAACAGGAUUAGAUACCCGAGUAGUC
RNAcentral lists this ribosomal RNA (460 nucleotides) under uncultured bacterium. RNAcentral describes it as "partial 16S ribosomal RNA". It matches the Rfam family "Bacterial small subunit ribosomal RNA", at positions 338 to 795 of the family's 1533-position model. The record is from RNAcentral.